UACAGAGGUCCCGAGCGUUGUUCGGAUUCACUGGGCGUAAAGGGUGCGUAGGUGGUGAGGUAAGUCGGAUGUGAAAUCUCCGGGCUCAACCCGGAAAUGGCAUUGGAAACUACCUUGCUGGAGGAUUUGAGGGGGGAUUGGAAUACUUGGUGUAGCAGUGAAAUGCGUAGAUAUCAAGUGGAACACCAGUGGCGAAGGCGAAUCCCUGGAAAAUACCUGACACUGAGGCACGAAAGCUAGGGAGCAACAGG
Molecule: ribosomal RNA, 251 nt
Filed under: uncultured bacterium
Lineage: Bacteria
Description: partial 16S ribosomal RNA
Rfam family: Bacterial small subunit ribosomal RNA
Source: RNAcentral